This 253-nucleotide ribosomal RNA is filed under the name uncultured bacterium. RNAcentral's name for it is "partial 16S ribosomal RNA". It matches the Rfam family "Bacterial small subunit ribosomal RNA", at positions 524 to 776 of the family's 1533-position model. The record is from RNAcentral.
UACGAAGGAUGCGAGCGUUAUCCGGAUUCAUUGGGUUUAAAGGGAGCGUAGGUGGCCUUAUAAGUCAGUGGUGAAAUCUCGCAGCUCAACUGCGAAAUUGCCAUUGAUACUGUAGGGCUUGAGUACAGUUGCUGUGGGCGGAAUAUGACAUGUAGUGGUGAAAUACAUAGAGAUGUCAUAGAACACCGAUUGCGAAGGCAGCUCACAAAACUGUAACUGACACUGAGGCUCGAAAGUGCGGGGAUCAAACAGG